RNAcentral lists this long non-coding RNA (562 nucleotides) under Chloebia gouldiae (Gouldian finch). RNAcentral describes it as "Erythrura gouldiae (Gouldian finch) lncRNA (ENSEGOG00005005254.1)". The record is from RNAcentral. Lineage: Eukaryota; Metazoa; Chordata; Aves; Passeriformes; Passeridae.
AUGAGACCACAGUUACAGUCCAGGGGAAGUGGUGGCCCCUUCAGCAGCAGCUUGAAGAUGCUCACUGGAAGAAAGGAGCCUUCAUGUUCCCAGGAUCAAGGAAUGUCGUCCAGCUGUUAUCCUGCUCCCUUUCAAGAUGAUGUCAGCUAUCAAGGGCAAAGCCAAAACCAGUGACUGCUGUGAACAGCAAGGCUGGGACGCUGCUCAGUAGUGCUGCAAGUCACAGUGUGGAUUCAGCUAGGACGAAAGGGCACCUCUCACCUGCUGGGAUCCUCUCCUAGAAGCCAACACAGCCACGGCUCCCAGUCUCCACAGGACAUUCACAAAAGCAAACCUGCACCAGCACGUACCCAGAGGAGCCCCACCACGCCCAAAACGCCAAGGCAGCUGCACACACCACCCAGCUGUAUCACAGAGCCCAUUCUUCUCCAUUGCCAUGUGGGAUCAGGACCUGCUUCUGCUUGCCCAUGUUCUUGAAUGGGCCUGUACUUCACCAAUGUUCAGAUACAAACCUGUGCAUGAAUUAUUCAAAGGUAUCUGUAAAAUUAGUUUUGAAAACUGU